This 497-nucleotide ribosomal RNA is filed under the name uncultured bacterium. RNAcentral describes it as "partial 16S ribosomal RNA". It matches the Rfam family "Bacterial small subunit ribosomal RNA", at positions 28 to 507 of the family's 1533-position model. The record is from RNAcentral.
GAUGAACGCUGGCGGCGUGCCUAAUACAUGCAAGUCGAGCGAACGGACGAGAAGCUUGCUUCUCUGAUGUUAGCGGCGGACGGGUGAGUAACACGUGGAUAACCUACCUAUAAGACUGGGAUAACUUCGGGAAACCGUAGCUAAUACCGGAUAAUAUUUUGAACCGCAUGGUUCAAUAGUGAAAGACGGUCUUGCUGUCACUUAUAGAUGGAUCCGCGCUGCAUUAGCCAGUUGGUAAGGUAACGGCUUACCAAGGCAACGAUGCAUAGCCGACCUGAGAGGGUGAUCGGCCACACUGGAACUGAGACACGGUCCAGACUCCUACGGGAGGCAGCAGUAGGGAAUCUUCCGCAAUGGGCGAAAGCCUGACGGAGCAACGCCGCGUGAGUGAUGAAGGUCUUCGGAUCGUAAAACUCUGUUAUUAGGGAAGAACAUAUGUGUAAGUAACUGUGCACGUCUUGACGGUACCUAAUCAGAAAGCCACGGCUAACUACGUG